Arabidopsis lyrata subsp. lyrata is the source of this 832-nucleotide long non-coding RNA. RefSeq lists it as uncharacterized. Lineage: Eukaryota; Viridiplantae; Streptophyta; Magnoliopsida; Brassicales; Brassicaceae. The record is from RefSeq and is a predicted model, not a curated record. The transcript has 2 exons.
AAUCAUAAAUGCGGUAGUAAGUGGUCCGAUAUGUCAAAAAAAGAAAAAACUCUCUCGAGGUUGCCCUAGCCGUCCAAAAACGUCAUCUCCGUUUUGCCCUCUCCGGCUUCCGGUGCUCCUCGCCGGAGCUGUGAGAGGGCCAUAGGUUCUCGUUCUAGCUUUGUCUUCUUUGUGUAGUUGCCCUUUGAGUCUCCUCUCCGCUAAUCUGAGAUAUCUUCUGAUGAAAAGAAGAGUGUUGGCGCGUAGAGGUCGGAUCCAUGUUUUGCGUUUCAGAUCUGAGUAGUCAAGAGGAAUUGAUGAGCAUCGAGGGGCUUUGGACUGCUUUCGCUUCAGGUUCUCAUUUUUAUGCUUCAGAUCUACCUUUGGUUCUUCAUGAGGGUUUUGGCUCUCUGUCUCCGGAGGUUAAGGUGUUGUCUUGGAAAGUCGUGUUCACGACGGUUUCUCAAUCCGGUUUCUGGGUUCUGGUUGGUUUGGCUUUGGUUUUUCGUGGUUCUUUCCGAUUCUUAUCCAGGCGGUGUGAGCUUUGUUAUGAGUUUGGUCUUCCUUCAGUCCCCUUCAAUAAUUUGACAUUUGGUGUUUUAUCUCUACCUGCUCCCAUUUGAGCUAGUCCCUUCUUUGCCUCUCUUCUUGUGCUUGAUGAUAUCUUCUAUUUGGAGUUGAUACUAAGGUUUUUAAUCUUUUUUUGGUUGAAUUUGAUGUAAGGUUUCCUUUCCUUUGGACUUUUAGUUUCCUUUUAACUUAGGGCUUUGCUUCCAUCGUUUGGGCUUUGUCUCCGAAAAAAUCCAUUUCUUCCGCUGGCAUUUGUAAUUUUACAAUGUAUCUUUCUGAUGUU